GACGAACGCUGGCGGCGUGCUUAACACAUGCAAGUCGAACGAUGAACCAGGGCUUGCCCUGGGGAUUAGUGGCGAACGGGUGAGUAACACGUGGGCAACCUGCCCCAGACACCGGGAUAACCUCUCGAAAGAGUGGCUAAUACCGGAUAUGACCACUUCGGGCAUCCGACGGUGGUGGAAAGGAUUCUGGUCUGGGAUGGGCCCGCGGCCUAUCAGCUAGUUGGUGGGGUAAUGGCCUACCAAGGCGACGACGGGUAGCCGGCCUGAGAGGGCGACCGGGCCACACUGGGACUGAGACACGGCCCAGACUCCUACGGGAGGCAGCAGUGGGGAAUAUUGCGCAAUGGGCGAAAGCCUGACGCAGCGACGCCGCGUGAGGGACGAUGGUCUUCGGAUUGUAAACCUCUUUCAGCAGGGACGAAGCGAAAGUGACUGUACCUGCAGAAGAAGCACCGGCUAACUACGUGCCAGCAGCCGCGGUAA
RNAcentral lists this ribosomal RNA (483 nucleotides) under uncultured bacterium. RNAcentral's name for it is "bacterial SSU rRNA". It matches the Rfam family "Bacterial small subunit ribosomal RNA", at positions 28 to 523 of the family's 1533-position model. The record is from RNAcentral.